RNAcentral lists this ribosomal RNA (519 nucleotides) under uncultured eukaryote. RNAcentral describes it as "SSU rRNA". It matches the Rfam family "Eukaryotic small subunit ribosomal RNA", at positions 1161 to 1697 of the family's 1831-position model. The record is from RNAcentral.
AGGGCACCACCAGGAGUGGAGCCUGCGGCUUAAUUUGACUCAACACGGGGAAACUCACCCGGCCCGGACACCGGAAGGAUUGACAGAUUGAUAGCUCUUUCUUGAUUCGGUGGAUGGUGGUGCAUGGCCGUUCUUAGUUGGUGGAGCGAUCUGUCUGGUUAAUUCCGAUAACGAACGAGACUCUAGCCUACUAAAUAGACCUCGGCAUUCUUUGUACUGUCGAGGCGCUUCUUAGAGGGACAGGCGGCGUUUCAGCCGCAUGAGAAAGAGCAAUAACAGGUCUGUGAUGCCCUUAGAUGUCCGGGGCCGCACGCGCGCUACACUGAAGAGAUCAGCGUGCAUGUGCUUCCUACUCCGAAAGGAGCGGGAAACCGAGUGAACCUUUUUCGUGCUUGGGAUUGGGGAUUGUAAUUAUUCUCCAUGAACGAGGAAUUCCCAGUAAGCACAAGUCAUCAGCUUGUGUUGAUUACGUCCCUGCCCUUUGUACACACCGCCCGUCGCUACUACCGAUUGGAUGUU